RNAcentral lists this ribosomal RNA (301 nucleotides) under uncultured bacterium. RNAcentral describes it as "partial 16S ribosomal RNA". It matches the Rfam family "Bacterial small subunit ribosomal RNA", at positions 509 to 808 of the family's 1533-position model. The record is from RNAcentral.
CAGUCGCCACGGUAAUACGAAGGGUGCAAGCGUUACUCGGAAUUACUGGGCGUAAAGCGUGCGUAGGUGGUGGUUUAAGUCCGUUGUGAAAGCCCUGGGCUCAACCUGGGAAUUGCAGUGGAUACUGGGUCACUAGAGUGUGGUAGAGGAUAGUGGAAUUUCCGGUGUAGCAGUGAAAUGCGUAGAGAUCGGAAGGAACAUCUGUGGCGAAGGCGACUAUCUGGGCCAACACUGACACUGAGGCACGAAAGCGUGGGGAGCAAACAGGAUUAGAUACCCGGUAGUCCCUGUCUCUUAUACC